Molecule: ribosomal RNA, 253 nt
Filed under: uncultured bacterium
Lineage: Bacteria
Description: partial 16S ribosomal RNA
Rfam family: Bacterial small subunit ribosomal RNA
Source: RNAcentral
UACGUAGGGUGCAAGCGUUAAUCGGAAUUACUGGGCGUAAAGCGUGCGCAGGCGGCUUUGCAAGACAGAUGUGAAAUCCCCGGGCUCAACCUGGGAACUGCAUUUGUGACUGCAUGGCUGGAGUGCGGCAGAGGGGGAUGGAAUUCCGCGUGUAGCAGUGAAAUGCGUAGAUAUGCGGAGGAACACCGAUGGCGAAGGCAGCCUCCUGGGCCAACACUGACGCUCAUGCACGAAAGCGUGGGGAGCAAACAGG